RNAcentral lists this ribosomal RNA (449 nucleotides) under uncultured bacterium. Its description in RNAcentral is "partial 16S ribosomal RNA". It matches the Rfam family "Bacterial small subunit ribosomal RNA", at positions 354 to 796 of the family's 1533-position model. The record is from RNAcentral.
GUGGGGAAUUUUGGACAAUGGGCGCAAGCCUGAUCCAGCAAUGCCGCGUGCAGGAAGAAGGCCUUCGGGUUGUAAACUGCUUUUGUACGGAACGAAACGGUCCUGGCUAAUACCCGGGGCUAAUGACGGUACCGUAAGAAUAAGCACCGGCUACUACGUGCCAGCAGCCGCGGUAAUACGUAGGGUGCGAGCGUUAAUCGGAAUUACUGGGCGUAAAGCGUGCGCAGGCGGUGCUGUAAGACAGGCGUGAAAUCCCCGGGCUCAACCUGGGAAUUGCGCUUGUGACUGCAGUGCUGGAGUGCGGCAGAGGGGGAUGGAAUUCCGCGUGUAGCAGUGAAAUGCGUAGAUAUGCGGAGGAACACCGAUGGCGAAGGCAAUCCCCUGGGCCUGCACUGACGCUCAUGCACGAAAGCGUGGGGAGCAAACAGGAUUAGAUACCCGUGUAGUCC